RNAcentral lists this ribosomal RNA (468 nucleotides) under uncultured bacterium. Its description in RNAcentral is "partial 16S ribosomal RNA". It matches the Rfam family "Bacterial small subunit ribosomal RNA", at positions 28 to 507 of the family's 1533-position model. The record is from RNAcentral.
GACGAACGCUGGCGGCGUGCUUAACACAUGCAAGUCGAACGGAAAGGCCCUGCUUUUGUGGGGUGCUCGAGUGGCGAACGGGUGAGUAACACGUGAGUAACCUGCCCUUGACUUUGGGAUAACUUCAGGAAACUGGGGCUAAUACCGGAUAGGAGCUCCUGCUGCAUGGUGGGGGUUGGAACGUUUCGGCGGUUGGGGAUGGACUCGCGGCUUAUCAGCUUGUUGGUGGGGUAGUGGCUUACCAAGGCUUUGACGGGUAGCCGGCCUGGGAGGGUGACCGGCGACAUUGGGACUGAGGUACGGACCAGACUCCUACGGGAGGCAGCAGUGGGGAAUAUUGCACAAUGGGCGGAAGCCUGAUGCAGCAACGCCGCGGGCGGGAUGACGGCCUUCGGGUUGUGAACCGCUUUCGCCUGUGACGAAGCGUGAGUGACGGUAAUGGGUAAAGAAGCACCGGCUAACUACGUG